This 427-nucleotide ribosomal RNA is filed under the name Spermophora sp. Ind27. RNAcentral describes it as "partial 16S ribosomal RNA". The record is from RNAcentral. Lineage: Eukaryota; Metazoa; Arthropoda; Arachnida; Araneae; Pholcidae.
UUCUUUAAGACCCUAAUUUAAAGUAAAACCUGCUCAAUGAACAAAAAUAAAUAGCCGCAAUAAAAAGUGCUAAGGUAGCAUAAUAACUUGCUUUAUAAUUAAAAGAUAGAAUGAAUGGUUAAACGAUAAAAAUCUAUAUCAUAUAUAAUAAUGAAAUUACUAUUUAUGUAAAAAUUCAUAAAUUCAUAAACAAGACGAUAAGACCCUAAUAAACUUACCAUUUUGUUGGGGAAACAAAUCAAUAAUAAUUUAAGCCACUCAAUAAACAUACCAACAAAUCAAAUACGAACAGUUACUAUAGGGAUAACAGCGCAAUCCCUUUCCAGAGUUUCAUAUCAAAAAAGAAGAUUACGACCUCGAUGUUGAAUUAAUUCACCUAAAUAGCGCAAAAGCUAAAAAAGAUAGUCUGUUCGACUAGUAAAAAAUU